GUCUGUUGGGGGCGGGCAGAGGCGUCGGCGCUGCCCCGGCGAGGGGCCGAGCCGGCGGGGCGCGCAGAAGCCGGCCCGAGCCCGGGCCCGAGCGCGGCUCCGCUCGGCUCCUCUGCGGCUCCCGCCGGGCCCUUCAGCCCCGGCCGGCCCCGGCGCGGCAGGGCACGAUGGCGCCCGGGCUGGGGCCGUGGCUCCUGGCCUUGUCCUUGGCCGCGGGGCCGGCAGGGCUGUGGGCGCAGCUGAGGCUGGUGGAGGACGGCGGAGGGCUGCGAGCGCCCGGGGACACCGUGCGCCUCUCCUGCCGCGGAUCCGGCUUCAACUUCGGGAAUUCCACAGUUUGGUGGUACCGUCAGGCAGCCGGCGGCAGUCUCGAGUGGGUGUCCUACAUCAGCGCUGAUUCCUCAGUGAUUCAAUUGGGGCAGUCAGUGAAGGGUCGAGCUACAGUGUCCCGGAACAGUUCCCGGUCCGUGUCAUCUCUGUCCCUGCGGGACCUGCAGCCCCGGGACUCUGCCCGCUACUUCUGUGCUGUUGCACGGGGACAGGAAAUCCAGCUGAGCUUUAACACAAACCUGCUGGGCCACAAUGUCAGAGCUGUGGGGCAAGGGGCUGCUUGGGGUGGGGGCCUCAGGGUGGUUCCCAGGCAGUGAAGUUCCAUCACUCUACACCGCAGGAGUUCCUGGCCUUUCCUGCACACUGCGGGAAUUGUAACUUAUGGUAAAUUAAAACAGAGUAGGAUUGUGAUCAACAAAAAAACUGGAAACACCUUCCCCUACACCUCCCACUUUCCUCCCUUGCUCAGCUUCAUACCUUCAUUCCCAAUUCCUCUACCUCCUCUGCCCAAGUGGCCCAUGGGUGAUGGGGUUUGAGGUGAAAUCAUAACACUUCAUCUCUACUGCUCCUUCCUCCCUCCCAUGGUCUGCAGUCCUUCACAAAUGGCUCCGGGAUGGUUCCUUUUGGAGGGCUGCAGUCCUUCAGGAUAAACAUGCUCCAGCAUCAGCUGUCCACAGGCCCCAGUUCCUGUCAGGGCACACUCAUGUACCCUGCCAUGUGAUCCUACACAGGCUGCAGGGAAACAACUGUCCCACUGUGGUGUCUUCCAUGGGCUGCAGGGGAAUCUCUGCUCUGGUGUCUGGAGCACCUCCUCCCCCUCCUUGUUGUCCCAUAGGCAAUGCCUGCUUUGCUGAUGAGCUCAGCUUUGGCCUGUGGCAGGUAUUAUCCUGAGCUGGCUGGAACGGGCUGUGCUGGACACGAGGCAGUCCC
This is a non-coding RNA of Harpia harpyja (harpy eagle), 1260 nucleotides long. Lineage: Eukaryota; Metazoa; Chordata; Aves; Accipitriformes; Accipitridae. The record is from the annotation of a RefSeq genome assembly.